RNAcentral lists this unclassified non-coding RNA (249 nucleotides) under Hevea brasiliensis (rubber tree). The record is from RNAcentral. Lineage: Eukaryota; Viridiplantae; Streptophyta; Magnoliopsida; Malpighiales; Euphorbiaceae.
UGUUGAAGCACUAAGCCUUCCUUAAACUACUAUAUAAGCAGAUAUUUCAUUACAACAUCAUGAAAUUUUCUGACAUGAAGCCCUAUUUACCACAGAACCAUCUGCAAGCUAAUACAAGCUAUUAAUGGUAGCUACAGCUGGAACAACACACAAAAAAAUAAUAAAAAAAACAAGUCAUUCACCCAAUCCAGCAAUUUCUCUGGCCCUAUGAAUGCUUAGCUUCUAAUUUUUAUUCGCCAUAAUUCUUGC